RNAcentral lists this long non-coding RNA (449 nucleotides) under Vigna radiata. RNAcentral's name for it is "long non-coding RNA (VRAD_LNC016082)". The record is from RNAcentral. Lineage: Eukaryota; Viridiplantae; Streptophyta; Magnoliopsida; Fabales; Fabaceae.
UCCCAAGCAAACUUUUGUGAAAAGGUGUACUAUCUUUGAAUUGAAUUUUGACUGUUGGAAAAAUAUUUUUCCGAGGACAGAUUUUCUUUGUAUUUUUAAAAUUUUAAAUCAGGGCCUUGUAUUUUUAAAAUUUUAAAUCAGGGCCUUGGGGGCGUGGUCCAGUUCAAAUGAAUUGCCUUUUCAAAGGAAUGGAUUGGAUGGUGACUUACCUUUGAAUCCCUGGGAACUAGUGGAUAUGAGCUAUAUACGGGGCAGAAUAACUGAUGGGUGCUGGAGUUGUUUUCUGCUAUGAAGCUUCUAAUGGCUAAGACCAUUCCCCAUGUAUACAAUUUCACACUUUCUCGGAGUGCUUCUCACUACAAUUAACUAUUCUGACUUAGCUAUUGAAGGCCCCACACUGUUGAACCUCUCUGGCACCCAUUACAGUGACUCACUGAUGUCUGCAGCUC